AGUUACGAACGAACGAAACAGCCAUUUUUAGUUGAAUUUAAUAGAAUCGUAAUUGUGUCCCGCAGUUCUUUAACGUUUUAGGUUCUCGUCUUGUUUGAUUCGUGAAUAGCAAUCAACGUAUGUUGAAAUUACGAAAGACCAAUGAAAACGAAGUAGUCUACGGCAGUGGUAAUUUAAAGCUUGAUUGUCCUUUUAACUAGGAAUCGCGAUCUGAUAAUGGGUAAUGCUGGGAGCAAUCAACCGAUUGGUCAUCAUCACAGCAACACCAGUAGCAGGGAACAUCGUCAUACCAAAGACCAUCCCCCGCCGUCACCAGGAAAAGAAGGCCAAGCUUUCGUUUUCGAUAAAAAGCCAAGUCAAAAGUUGGUUUUCCAAUCAUCUAACGAAGAAGAGGAGCCUUAUUUUGCUAAAGUACAUCGAACCGGUCACCAUGACAGAGAUGACUUUGGUUCUCAACGUCCACGUUCCAACACCGUAUCAGAAGGUACAAAAGUAACGGACAGUAAGGUGCUACCGACGGUCUUUAAAUGGGAAGGAGGUGGUAAACAAGUUUAUAUCAGUGGAACUUUUACCGGUUGGAAAACUUUGCCAAUGGUUAAGAGUCACGGUGAUUUUGUAACAAUUAUUGAUUUACCAGAGGGAGAACAUCAGUACAAGUUCUUUGUCGAUGGUGAAUGGAGACACGAUCCGGACAUAAAAAUUGUUGACAAUGGCAUGGGUUCCAAAAAUAAUUUAGUAUCCGUUAGGAAAUCUGAUUUUGAAGUUUUUCAAGCACUCGCGAAAGAUAGCGAGGGUAUUAUUAGCAGUGCUCAAACAGAGUACGGUCAAGAAAUUCCUCCUCACAAACCUUGGGAGAAAGUAGCUGGGCCACCGAUAUUACCGCCGCAUCUGCUGCAAGUAAUUCUGAAUAAAGACACACCCUUGUCUUGCGAACCAACACUUCUACCAGAACCAAAUCACGUUAUGUUAAAUCAUCUCUACGCCUUAAGUAUCAAAGACAGCGUAAUGGUUUUGUCGGCAACGCAUCGUUACCGCAAAAAAUACGUCACAACUUUACUAUACAAACCGAUCUAAACCUCUGAAUCAUUCCCGAUGUUGUCGGCGAUCGUUAGUUACAUCGAAUCAAUACAUGUUUUGUAGAAAAUAUGUUCCAGAAGCCGCUUUGUCAACGUGUUCUCCCAUAAAUGCAGUAUCGGAAUAGUUGCAAUUGCCACCCAUAAACUGAUCCCAGGUAUUGCAUUUCCUUGCCACAAAUCCCGCCUUGGUGGCUAUACUUUCCGUAAAGUACACGUACGAUCUUCCAUGACUACAUGCCUCUGAAAAAAAAAAGAAAGGAAACAGUGAAACAACAUAGAAACGUGUUUAAAGGUUGAACAGCUGUUCCCGCGUUUGGGUAAAAGUCUGCGCUACCUAGAGGUUGUAAAAACCCUAAUACACCGCCGCAUGAGUGAAUAAUAUCGACGAACAACGCGUCUGUAGAAUCCAGUCGGGUCUUGUCUGUUGUGAG
Molecule: RNA transcript, 1507 nt
Organism: Colletes gigas
Lineage: Eukaryota; Metazoa; Arthropoda; Insecta; Hymenoptera; Colletidae
Gene: alc
Gene name: 5'-AMP-activated protein kinase subunit beta-1
Exons: 7
Source: RefSeq, a predicted model, not a curated record